Molecule: ribosomal RNA, 491 nt
Filed under: uncultured bacterium
Lineage: Bacteria
Description: partial 16S ribosomal RNA
Rfam family: Bacterial small subunit ribosomal RNA
Source: RNAcentral
AGUGAACGCUGGCGGUAGGCCUAACACAUGCAAGUCGAACGGCAGCACAGUAAGAGCUUGCUCUUACGGGUGGCGAGUGGCGGACGGGUGAGGAAUACAUCGGAAUCUACUUUUUCGUGGGGGAUAACGUAGGGAAACUUACGCUAAUACCGCAUACGACCUACGGGUGAAAGCAGGGGAUCUUCGGACCUUGCGCGAUUGAAUGAGCCGAUGUCGGAUUAGCUAGUUGGCGGGGUAAAGGCCCACCAAGGCGACGAUCCGUAGCUGGUCUGAGAGGAUGAUCAGCCACACGGGAACUGAGACACGGCCCAGAUCCCUAGGGGGGGCAGGAGUGGGGAAUAUUGGACAAGGGGCGCAAGCCUGAUCCAGCCAUACCGGGUGGGUGAAGAAGGCCUUCGGGUUGUAAAGCCCUUUUUUUGGGAAAAAAAAGCAGCAGGUUAAUACCCCGCUGUUCUGACGGUACCCAAAGAAAAAGCACCGGCUAACUUCGU